Molecule: long non-coding RNA, 565 nt
Organism: Stylophora pistillata
Lineage: Eukaryota; Metazoa; Cnidaria; Anthozoa; Scleractinia; Pocilloporidae
Source: RefSeq, a predicted model, not a curated record
GUCGCUGUGUGAAGUAUCGCGAGGCACAUUUGCAUAGACACGCUGAGAGAAAGAUGACAACAACUACAGUGCUGACGAUUUCCUUUGUAUUCUUCCUCGUCUUGGCUUCCCUCUGCAGAACCAGUCAGGGGUUUGCUUUAUCACUUACUGCAAGAAGAGAUGAACUUAAGAAGAGCAAGAGAAAGCAGGUAUCGGAUGGAGUUAGGCUGAGAAGAAAGCUUAAGAGACUGAAGGACAAAGAACUGGAGCUAGAAAGAAAAGUAUCAGAGUUAUCGAAGUGGGUUCGAAGAUACAAAACAACGCACAGAUCUAAGACGAAACACGGCAGAUUUUCUGGAGCAGAUACUUGGUGAAAUUUACGAAGACGAUGUUCACUCUUGCGAGGAACUGAAAAACAGAGUGCCAGCUCAAGAAAGAUCUGGAUGAAAUGUUAUUUAUUAGUAGGACGCUUUUUAGAAAAAAGAGAGUCUUGCAUCAUCAGAAUGUUAUUUAUUUGUAAACGGAAAAAGUGAAGCCAUAUAAUGAUUAUCUAUUUAUAAUAAAUACAUCUUUGAUAUUCGUUCAA